CGCUAACCCCGGCAGAACUCAUGUGGCCUAUUAGGUCUUUGUUUAUAUUAAAAUGGUUGAAUCACAAGAGCAUCUAAAUUAUGUAUGCUUACAAAUUACUAAAGUGGAAUCAAAGCACGUACUAAAUAAGGGUGGGACACGAGCGAAGAGACUAAGCGGACGGGACGCAGAGGCACCAAGUGAAGUAGUCAACCCACAACGAAUAGAUAAGAUGUCCAUAUACUAGACGAGCCAGCAACGAUCAUGGCUCUAUUGGAGACACGAAGAGAAGUGGAGAACCCACAAAGAAUAAAGAGUUGCCCAUUAACUAGACGAGCUAGCAACGAUCAUGGCCAUUGGAGACGCGGAGAGAAGUAGAGAACCCACAACGAAUAGGGAGAGAUGUCUAUAUACUAGACGAGCACGAGCCACCAACGACCUUGAGCUACAUACAGCCUACAGGAACUUCUUUACUCCGAAGAAAAUAUUGGAUUUUACUCGAACGAUGAAACUAUCUGUAAUUGCACAAGGAUCAUUCUCUCUCUUUUUUUCCCUGAAAAGUGACAGAGACUAUUCGUUGCUCAUGAAGGAAUGUGUUUUGAGAUCCACUAGCCAAGUAUCAGCAACGUGUAUAGUUCCCAAUUCCAUCACAAAUUUUGGCUAAACACAAGUAUCACAGAUAUCCUGCAUCAUUUACCAUAAUCAAUAAACGAUAUAACCACCCAAAUAUAACAACAUUUGAAUUUUACCAAAUGUCGACAAUUGAUUUCUGUAGAGAGAUCAAUCGCAUACCUGAGGC
RNAcentral lists this long non-coding RNA (778 nucleotides) under Brassica napus (rape). RNAcentral describes it as "long non-coding RNA (BNAP_LNC005557)". Lineage: Eukaryota; Viridiplantae; Streptophyta; Magnoliopsida; Brassicales; Brassicaceae. The record is from RNAcentral.